UCUCUCUCUUGUAAAAAAUCUACUAAAUAAAAGUUUGAAGUUUGCUACGUCUCUCUCUUCUCUGGUCACAACACAACUUUAUUAGGCACGUUCUGCGUAAGUGUGCUAAUGGAGAUGUCUCACUGAGAUCAUACUUUUUUGGAUUGUAUUUGGAACGUAUAGAUGACCGUAGAUUGUGUUGUGGA
Molecule: long non-coding RNA, 185 nt
Organism: Lycium ferocissimum
Lineage: Eukaryota; Viridiplantae; Streptophyta; Magnoliopsida; Solanales; Solanaceae
Exons: 2
Source: RefSeq, a predicted model, not a curated record